RNAcentral lists this ribosomal RNA (369 nucleotides) under uncultured eukaryote. Its description in RNAcentral is "partial 18S ribosomal RNA". It matches the Rfam family "Eukaryotic small subunit ribosomal RNA", at positions 592 to 976 of the family's 1831-position model. The record is from RNAcentral.
CAAUAGCGUAUAUUAAAGUUGUUGCAGUUAAAAAGCUCGUAGUUGAACUUUGGGCCUGGCAGGCCGGUCCGCUUUUUGGCGAGUACUGACCCUGCCGGGCCCUUCCUUCUGGCUAACCUCCCCUCUGGAGAGGCGAACCAGGACUUUUACUUUGAAAAAAUUAGAGUGUUCAAAGCAGGCCUUUGCUCGAAUAUAUUAGCAUGGAAUAAUAGAAUAGGACGUUUGGUUCUAUUUUGUUGGUUUCUAGGACCAUCGUAAUGAUUAAUAGGGACGGUCGGGGGCAUCAGUAUUCAGUUGUCAGAGGUGAAAUUCUUGGAUUUACUGAAGACUAACUACUGCGAAAGCAUUUGCCAAGGACGUUUUCAUUAA